CCAGGCGCGAAAACUUUACAAUGCUGGCAACAGCGAUAAGGGGACCUCGAGUGCCAGGAUACAAUCUUGGCUGUCGCGAUGCCUAAAAAGCAUUGCAUAGCAAGGGCCGGGCAAGACCGGUGCCAGCCGCCGCGGUAACACCGGCGGCUCGAGUGGUAACCGCUAUUAUUGGGUCUAAAGGGUCUGUAGCCGGCCGGAUAAGUCUUUUGGGAAGUCCAGCUGCUCAACAGUUGGGCUUUCAGAAGAUACUGUUCGGCUCGAGGCCGGGAGAGGUGAGAGGUACUUCAGGGGUAGGGGUGAAAUCUUGUAAUCCUUGAAGGACCACCAGUGGCGAAGGCGUCUCACCAGAACGGACCUGACGGCAAGGGACGAAAGCUAGGGGCACGAACCGGAUUAGAUACCCGGGUAGUCCUAGCCGUAAACGAUACUCGCUAGGUGUCAGCCACGGUGCGACCGUGGUUGGUGCCGUAGGGAAGCCGUGAAGCGAGCCACCUGGGAAGUACGGCCGCAAGGCUGAAACUUAAAGGAAUUGGCGGGGGAGCAC
Molecule: ribosomal RNA, 544 nt
Filed under: uncultured archaeon
Lineage: Archaea
Description: bacterial SSU rRNA
Rfam family: Archaeal small subunit ribosomal RNA
Source: RNAcentral